Molecule: long non-coding RNA, 408 nt
Organism: Solanum pennellii
Lineage: Eukaryota; Viridiplantae; Streptophyta; Magnoliopsida; Solanales; Solanaceae
Exons: 2
Source: RefSeq, a predicted model, not a curated record
GCAACAUAUCUUUUAAGUGUUCAAUCUCCACAUCACGAAUAGCCCUCAUAGCAGCACUUUGACGUUCAGCUGAAAAGAGAGUACAAUAAGCUUGCAGGAAUAUAUCAGAACAGAUCGGUCACACAGAACUUAUAUCAUACAUCAACACAUAAAAAAUAAACGAGAAUGGAUAAGAGAAUAUAGCUUCAUGGAUAUGAAGUUCAACCAAGCAAAUCAAAAUUUCCUGCUUCAAGAUUUCUGCACCCAAUCUAUAUAUGCAACCAUUGUCCAUGUGGUUUUCCUCUUACUAUAUUUUGUUUUUCUAAAAUAAACAACUUACUUUUUCUUUCAAAUGAUAAGACUAACAAACAUUUGUACAUUUAAAAGGUACCUUCUUGCUUGAAUAUAUCAUCUUCCAUUUUCACUUGA